AUGUCUAGUAUUAUCACACAUCCAACACAACGUCUUCAUCUCUGCUACACUUACUUUAUUCUUGUGUUGACCCUUAAGCGUCCAACAUUUUGUCUCGUACGGCAACGCAGGUCUUACUGUAGUCUGUUAUACUCCUUCUUACUUCUGCUUAGAAGAAAACCACGUGUUUCUAUAACUCGCCUCCAAGUCUCCAACUUCUCAUUUAAAUUCUCCUUUGACUCUCCAAGUAGGACUAUAUCAUCUGCAAAAAGCAUGCAUCUCGGUGCUACCUUUUAG
Vicia faba (fava bean) is the source of this 276-nucleotide non-coding RNA. The record is from the annotation of a GenBank genome assembly. NCBI's taxonomy places the organism in Eukaryota, Viridiplantae, Streptophyta, Magnoliopsida, Fabales, Fabaceae.